AAAUCAUGGGCUAAUUUAAAUUUUGGGGUGAACUAUCCCUUUAAUGCAUUAUUCAGGCAGAGGUGCGCAGGCUGUUUGAGAGCUUAUCCUCAAAAAAAGAAACAUCCCAUGUGAUAUUACUUACAUUGUCGUGCCAUUAAAAAGCUUAGCUUUUACUUAAAAAACUGGAGCGUCCAGUGAAGCGCGCUGUAGCGCAAUCUUCUCGAGUGUGAAUGAUACUGCCGUCACACAGUUGUGGUCGUAGUUUGGUGCUGUUUACUGUAGCUCACAUCAGGUCACAUCAGUCGCGUUUACUCAACACAACGUAGUGUCUUCAGCUCCUCUCACUGUGGAAAAUGGCAAUGCCAUGGCAUAUUUUAUUUUUGUAUAAAUACAGCAAUGCAUAACUUCCCUAUGCCACAAUCUAGUAAUAAAGAAUCACUGCUCAUCCA
This is a long non-coding RNA of Rhinichthys klamathensis goyatoka, 431 nucleotides long. RefSeq lists it as uncharacterized. The transcript is spliced from 2 exons. Lineage: Eukaryota; Metazoa; Chordata; Actinopteri; Cypriniformes; Leuciscidae. The record is from RefSeq and is a predicted model, not a curated record.